CAGGCAAACCGGUCAGGCGGGCACUGGGCUGAGGCCUCCAUCUGGAUGGGCCUGCGCUGACAGUCCGGGCUGGUGUGGCAGCUGCUCGCGGGGCAGGCAGCUGGGGCUGUGAGGCCACCGUCAGGUACGAGUGGGACUGGGACGGGGGGUUGGGGAGUGGUGGGCAGGCUACCAACCCUCAGCACCCCAGUUUCCUCUGCCCCUCAGCCUUUCCCUAUCCCUGUCCCCCACACAGCAUCCUUCCCUGUCCUGCUUUCGGCUCUUCACAUUGGAAACGCGGUACACCCAUCUUGCCUGAGUUUGCUGAGCCUCUCCCCAAAUUGGACCACCGCGAUUUCAUUGCUCCCUCACAAUUCCCCCUCCACCGUAUCAUUCAAUGCCCACAGAGGCUACGCCAAGCCUGUGUGCUCCCUCCUGCCUCAGGAGCAGGCCCCCAGCACCCAGCUGCCCGGCUGCCAUGCACAAACAUUACAAAGUCCACUUCGCCAAGGAUGCCCAGAGCCCCAACGGGCACUACUUCUGGGACCCAGAGUUGGGGCACCGAAAAGGAUGCUGUCAUCAGUGGCGCCAGGACUCAGCGGCCCUCCGAGCCCAUGGGCCCUGUCGACCUUCCCCCCAGU
This 620-nucleotide long non-coding RNA is filed under the name Pan troglodytes (chimpanzee). Its description in RNAcentral is "long non-coding RNA NONPTRT008553". Lineage: Eukaryota; Metazoa; Chordata; Mammalia; Primates; Hominidae. The record is from RNAcentral.